GGAUUGUAGUCUGCAACCCGACUACAUGAAGCUGGAAUCGCUAGUAAUCGCGGAUCAGAAUGCCGCGGUGAAUACGUUCCCGGGUCUUGUACACACCGCCCGUCACACCAUGGGAGUCGGAAAUGCCCGAAGUCAGUGACCUAACCGAAAGGAAGGAGCUGCCGAAGGUGGAGCCGGUAACUGGGGUGAAGUCGUAACAAGGUAUC
This 206-nucleotide ribosomal RNA is filed under the name uncultured bacterium. RNAcentral describes it as "partial 16S ribosomal RNA". It matches the Rfam family "Bacterial small subunit ribosomal RNA", at positions 1295 to 1500 of the family's 1533-position model. The record is from RNAcentral.